This 253-nucleotide ribosomal RNA is filed under the name uncultured bacterium. RNAcentral's name for it is "partial 16S ribosomal RNA". It matches the Rfam family "Bacterial small subunit ribosomal RNA", at positions 524 to 776 of the family's 1533-position model. The record is from RNAcentral.
UACGUAGGGUGCAAGCGUUGUCCGGAAUUAUUGGGCGUAAAGAGCUCGUAGGCGGUCUGUCGCGUCUGCUGUGAAAAUCCAGGGCUCAACCCUGGACCUGCAGUGGGUACGGGCAGACUAGAGUGCGGUAGGGGAGAUCGGAAUUCCUGGUGUAGCGGUGAAAUGCGCAGAUAUCAGGAGGAACACCGGUGGCGAAGGCGGCUAUCUGGACAGAAACUGACGCUGAGGCGCGAAAGCUAGGGGAGCAAACAGG